CAACCCUUAAGCCUAGCUUAGUGUUGGGAAUUUACAGUUAUGUAAUUCCUGAAAUACAACGGCGGAUCUGUGGUAUCCUCUGAGCGUAGUAAAUUAUUUCUCGCUUUUGUUAGGUGCUGCAGCUCCCAGCCGCUAAACCCCCAAUUUUUUGU
RNAcentral lists this unclassified non-coding RNA (152 nucleotides) under uncultured Pseudopestalotiopsis. Its description in RNAcentral is "sequence contains ITS2". Lineage: Eukaryota; Fungi; Ascomycota; Sordariomycetes; Amphisphaeriales; Sporocadaceae. The record is from RNAcentral.